Molecule: ribosomal RNA, 253 nt
Filed under: uncultured bacterium
Lineage: Bacteria
Description: partial 16S ribosomal RNA
Rfam family: Bacterial small subunit ribosomal RNA
Source: RNAcentral
UACGAAGGGGGCUAGCGUUGCUCGGAAUUACUGGGCGUAAAGGGCUCGUAGGCGGCCAACUAAGUCAUACGUGAAAUCCCUCAGCUUAACUGGGGAACUGCGUGUGAUACUGGAUGGCUUGGAUGUGGGAGAGGGAUGCGGAAUUCCAGGUGUAGCGGUGAAAUGCGUAGAUAUCUGGAGGAACACCGGUGGCGAAGGCGGCAUCCUGGACCAUUAUUGACGCUGAGGAGCGAAAGCCAGGGGAGCAAACGGG